AGGAUAAACGCUGGCGGCGUGCCUAAUCAAUGCGAGUCGUGCGGACCUUCGGGUCAGCGGCGUCCGGGUGAGUAACGCGUAGCUAACCUGCCUACCAGUGGGGGAUACCCGUCAGAAAUGGCGGCUAAUACCGCAUAGAGUGACGAGACGAGAGUUUCGGCAUGAAAGCCGCAAGGCGCUGGGAGAUGGGGCUGCGUCUGAUUAGCUAGUUGGUGGGGUAAAGGCCUACCAAGGCGAUGAUCAGUAGC
Molecule: ribosomal RNA, 248 nt
Filed under: uncultured bacterium
Lineage: Bacteria
Description: partial small subunit ribosomal RNA
Rfam family: Bacterial small subunit ribosomal RNA
Source: RNAcentral